CUGAUGAGGCAAGUGAGGAUGGUUAUAGCAUUGUAUUGGUUAACACCGAACUCGCUUCCAUAGCCCAGGGGUGUAGAGAUCAUUGCAAAUGCGAUCUUCUGGUAUGUGGAGGCACUGUUUUCCCAAGGAGAGUCCUGCCUCAGUGGUACCUAGUCUUUCAUCAAAUUUUGGGAAUGUGAAAGAAUGCAGCCAACGUGCUUACCGUAUUCAAAUCUAUCAUACAUGUCAGCACAAACCUGGCCAGUGUUACUGGGAAGUGAUGUCAGCAGGUCCAUUAACCCAGAAAGGCGAUUUUAUGAAGCUCUUCACUGGGCCUGAAGCCCAGGAGCAUGGAUGCAGAUGAGUGAAAUGGUGGCAAGAUGGACAGAAUAAAGCCUAGCAUACAAAAAACA
RNAcentral lists this long non-coding RNA (392 nucleotides) under Felis catus (domestic cat). RNAcentral describes it as "lncRNA (ENSFCAG00000047308.1)". Lineage: Eukaryota; Metazoa; Chordata; Mammalia; Carnivora; Felidae. The record is from RNAcentral.